GGGUUAGUAGGUUGGUCAUGCCUCUGGUAUGUACUGGUCUCACUGAUUCCUCCUUCCUGAUGAGCCGUAAUGCCAUUAAUUUGGUGUUGCGGGGAAUUUGGACUGUUACUGUGGAAAAAUUAGAGUGUUUAAAGCAGGCAUAUGCUUGAAUACAUUAGCAUGGAAUAAUAGAAUAGGACGUUCGAUCCUAUUUUGUUGGUUUCUAGGAUUGACGUA
This 216-nucleotide ribosomal RNA is filed under the name Campeiostachys nutans. Its description in RNAcentral is "Elymus nutans partial small subunit ribosomal RNA". The stretch from base 40 to 216 matches the Rfam family "Eukaryotic small subunit ribosomal RNA", at positions 686 to 864 of the family's 1831-position model. Lineage: Eukaryota; Viridiplantae; Streptophyta; Magnoliopsida; Poales; Poaceae. The record is from RNAcentral.